GUAGAAAUACAUGCACUGGGGGCGAGUGGAGACCCCUCCAAGAUCGCGGUCGGUGGGGAUACACGCUCCAACAGACUGGCCCAGUCCAUGUCACCUCUAUGUAUAUUUGAUCUAUGGAAAGCCACGUUAGGCUUCCAGCACCCAGUGUAUUCAGGUCUAUGUAGUUUUGAAUGUUUGGUUCUAGCUCACACAGCUUUGACAGGUGAAACUUAUUCACUGUAUUGAAGACUCACAGGUGAAGUUGAAAAUACCAUCUUUUGUAUUUUUGUGCAGGCACGACUUUCUGGUGUUAUACACUGUCCUGGCGUUGCAGAUCUAGGGGUUCCAGUUAAGACGUGGUCAGCCUUCUAAAGAAAGUGGGAAUCUCACCGAAGGCCAGGACAAAGGCUCAAACCAUCAUCUUUUCCUGGUAUCGAAUACCAAGGGACCUUCUGAAGACAACACAGUUGAAAAGCGCAGAGAAAUUGCUAUUCGCUGCCUCAUAGUCUAUCUUGGAGAGAAGGAGGAGGAUCUUUUCAAACAAUACAGCGAUGAGGAGGAGCUCAACGCAGACCUUGCAAUGCAAAUCAUGAAGAUUGCUAUCAUUGGUGAUGGGCCUGCAACCAUAUCGUUGAGGGAUCCAAGAUCCUGGAGAGGAUUGAUGUUGCCAGAUCCUGUGCUUUGAUGAUGGGAGUAAUCUACGCUCUGAACCUUACCUAUCCCAAGCAGCUGAAAUUUACCUUUGAGGUAUUUCAAAAGCUAUGCCUUGAGCUUGAUGGACAAAAAGCCAGCUCUAAAGUAAUGAAUCUUAAGUUUGGUAUUUUCUAGAGCAGACUUGAUAGACCAUUCGUGAGUGAGUUUCACAAAAACCUUAUUCCUGCAUUUCUGGCACUACUUCAUUGUGUUUUACUAAAUUUUAAAGCGCUGUUCUUAAGUCUUCUGAGUUAAUGUUUUGCCGUGUCUUAAAUGCUGUUAUUUGCACAUUUUUAAGGAAUGCGUUUAAUUUCUCCCAUGACCUGUGUUCUGAGGGUACUGGUGUGUUUUAAAGUUUGUGUAAUGCCCUCUUUAGCUGGCCUUAAUCUUGAGGGUGAAAAGUCAAAUAUAGAAGAGAAUCAAGAAUACUUUGUAAGAGUGCUGACAAAGUUGAAUGAAAGAAGCUUUGCUCAUUUUAUGUUUAAAUUAGUGCAUUUAAUGUAUAGCAGCCUGUCAUCUUUUGUUUUGAUUCACUGUCAAAUGUUAAAGCAAAAAAAAAAGAGGAUUCAAGUAAUAGGUUGUAUUACAAUUUUAAUACACAGUUCCUUAAGUUUCAGUGGGCAAUUUGUGUUCUAGGAAACUGAAGCCCACAAAUCUUGCACUUCCACACACGUUAAAGAAUUGUGAUGUUUGUUAUUGUAAUUAAAUGGGUCUAACUCAUUUGAAUA
Molecule: long non-coding RNA, 1400 nt
Organism: Haplochromis burtoni (Burton's mouthbrooder)
Lineage: Eukaryota; Metazoa; Chordata; Actinopteri; Cichliformes; Cichlidae
Exons: 3
Source: RefSeq, a predicted model, not a curated record